This 688-nucleotide long non-coding RNA is filed under the name Gigantopelta aegis. RNAcentral's name for it is "uncharacterized LOC121373975". Lineage: Eukaryota; Metazoa; Mollusca; Gastropoda; Neomphalida; Peltospiridae. The record is from RNAcentral.
UAACUUUUUAUGAGCAGUAUAUUGAGUUUCUUCAGUGGGAAAUUAAGCUGCAGGUAAAAAGCAUGCAGGCUGUGGGAAAGGUAAAUGUCACCUGUCUGUUCAUCAGUGCAUUUGCCAAGAAGGUUUCCAGCAGGCAAGUUGACUGGGAAAUGGCUCUUAGGAGUUUUUUGGGUUUGAGCGUGAGCCAGAACCACGAGAACCUUUGGGUUUGAGCGUGAGCCAGAACCAUGAGAAGUAUGUGAGCUACGAGAGCUAUGAUAGCUAUAUGAGCUAUAACUGGGUGUGAGGGAUGACAACAGAUGUGACCAGCGGGACUGUAGGAGAACCAUCUGCAAGAGAUGUCUACAGACUAGCGUGGUGGCGGACUGUGAUUAGGAUAUCUGCAAGAGAUGUCAACAGCCAACCAUCCAAGAUGUGCUAGUGUCUGGUCGUCAUCAAGAUAUUGAUAAUAUUCGCAAUGACAGUGAAUUUCAGAUGAGUUUAUACUGAUACAAACUGAACUGGUUUAAAAUGAUUAUUUAACUAAGGCUCGAACAUUGACUAGAAGCUAGUUGGCUCAGACUGGUUUACCAUGGACACCAGAAUACAGUUUUUUGGGGGGUUUAAUUUAAGGUUGGGGUAGUGAUGUGUUUGGAGUGAAAUCGUCAUUUUGUAUAUUUAUAUUUUGUAUAUAAAUUUGUUGAAAUGU